Molecule: long non-coding RNA, 1612 nt
Organism: Mustela putorius furo (domestic ferret)
Lineage: Eukaryota; Metazoa; Chordata; Mammalia; Carnivora; Mustelidae
Source: Ensembl
CCUGACUAAUAUUUACAUAUAGGAAGUAAACUUUAUUUGAAAGCUCUGGUAUUUAAAGCUACUAUUUCUUGACAGAAGGGAUUCCAGGGAUUGCAUAAAGAAGUUUUUAUUCCAAAAGGCAAACAGUGAAAUUCUAAUUUAAUAAGUAAUUUAGGGUAUGUAAGGAAAAUCUUCAAUUUUAGGGUAGCACACACUUUGAGAAUAAAAAUGAAACUGUAUCAGGUGUUUAUUGAAGUAAUUACACAAUUUUUGUGAUUUGGGAUAUUGUUUUUCAAAUUUUAAGUGUUUUCAUUAACUACUUGUUGCAGGCAAUGUCUAGUUCUUUGAAAGAACCUGAGACUCUAGUUUUGAUAGAUGUUAUCUUGGGCUCCAAAUAAAACCAAAGCAUAUAUAAUAUGUAAUCUAAAUGCUUAGUAUCAGUAAGUUGCAGAGGAGGUUAAAUACAUUUAUAAAUUCUUUUUCAAAAAUCUAGACAGAAGAUCUGCACAACUAAACCUAUCAAGUUAAUGAAAACUAAAUUAUAGGCCAAUAUUUUUGCAGUGGCAUUCACCCUUGGUACCCCGUCCUCAUGUCCUUUUUUAGGGAGGAAAAAAUGGACUCUCACAGUCUCAAAAUUAAACUCUGGGUUUUUUCCUAUCAAACAUUUGGAGGAGAUUUAAAAGAGUUUAAUCAUACCCUCAAAGUUUACCACUAAAUAUAGAGAUACAGAUUGAAAUAUUCUUAGACCAAAAUCUUAUAUGCAAAAGUUACUUUUACCCUAGCACGGCUAAGAGAGGAGACAGUGGAACGGAGGACGUCCGGAUGCUCAAGCCACCCGGGUUGGAGAGGCGUUAGCAGGCGGAACCCGAACGGCACUCUAUUAAUACUCCCCUGGAUUCAAAAAGGAAAAACCCCAGAACCGUGUUCAAACCCCACAGACAGAGAAAGACAGGUGAAGAAUCCUUCCAGUCUCUUAAAAUUUAAAACAGCAACAUUGACCACAGUCUGGAAGCUGAAGGUCUCCAUGUGAGCUCCGGACACCACUAACAUAGUCACAUUUUGUUUAUGUGGACAGGAAGGUGGCUUCUAUCCCACGCUGACAGAGCCGGUGAUGAGUAGAGCACUUGCUGGGGCCUGCCAGCCAGACAUUUCUCCACAAGCACAGGAUGGAAACCCUUCUUCUCCGGCUGCAGUGGAUUUUGACUAGAAAUAUCCCAGCCAGUGUUUCGACUUUUUGAUUUCACUUGCCAUUCGUAGGCAGAUGAACCUAGACACUUUCACUCUGCCCUGACUGCCCAUUUGGGAACAAAGUCCAAGACCUCUUGGAAUGAUAAGCACGCAGAAGAAUCUGGGUCCUCAGGUUUCAUAGGCUUUGCCGUUGUGAGUUAGAUUCUGAGGUAACACAGCACUGGGUCGGGUCAUCCCAAAGGAUGAAUUUGAACCAGAAACUGCAGAACAGCAAGUCAUGUUUAUUUAUGCAUAUCAGGCCUAUACUUCAUAUGUUAUUUUCACCAUCAAAUGACCUGAUUAGAAAAUAAAGAUGUGAGGGGAGGAGUCAAGAUGGCGGAGAAGUAGCAAGCUGAGACUGCUUCAGCUAGCCGGAGAUCAGCUAGAUAGCUUAUCUAAAGAUUGC